AUAUUUUAACGGCAAGAUAAUUGAAAAAUUAUUACGCAAAGACUUGAAUCUACGGAAUUUAUCUAUGAUUGUCAAGUUUGCCUCA
Molecule: non-coding RNA, 85 nt
Filed under: Halanaerobium saccharolyticum
Lineage: Bacteria; Bacillati; Bacillota; Clostridia; Halanaerobiales; Halanaerobiaceae
Also listed under: 1 other name
Description: c-di-GMP sequence
Rfam family: c-di-GMP-I riboswitch aptamer
About the family: GEMM was predicted in a large-scale screen for bacterial structured RNA regulatory elements. Genes associated with GEMM are involved in a diverse array of functions, including chemotaxis regulation, signal transduction, secretion and chitin.
Source: RNAcentral